This 798-nucleotide ribosomal RNA is filed under the name Ctenotus dux. RNAcentral's name for it is "partial 12S ribosomal RNA". It matches the Rfam family "Bacterial small subunit ribosomal RNA", at positions 323 to 1423 of the family's 1533-position model. Lineage: Eukaryota; Metazoa; Chordata; Lepidosauria; Squamata; Scincidae. The record is from RNAcentral.
GAGAAUGCCCACAUACCCCUAAACAGAAAACCGGAGCAGGCAUCAGGAUACAACACCACAUUUUAGCCAAAAACGCCUUGCACAUGCCACACCCACACGGGCCUUCAGCAGUAAUUAACAUUAAGACAUGAGCGAAAGCUCGACUUAGUUAUGGUACACAUGGUCGGUAAAUUUCGUGCCAGCCACCGCGGUUAUACGAAAGACCAAAAACAACGGCCAACGGCGUAAAGCGUGACUAGAGAACUAAAACACUUUAGAGGAGAAGGGCCGCCAAGUAGUAAAACACUCACGCACGCCAGAAUCACAACUACGCCUCUAAUAACACUUUACCUCACGAAAGCUAAGAAACAAACUGGGAUUAGAUACCCCACUAUGCUUAGCCCUGAACAUAGACAGUAAAAACACAACACUGUUCGCCAGAGAACUACAAACGAAAAGCUUAAAACUCUAAGGACUUGGCGGUGCUUCAAACCAACCUAGAGGAGCCUGUCCUAUAAUCGAUACCCCACGUUUUACCUCACCCCUCCUAGCCAAACAGCCUAUAUACCGCCGUCGUCAGCUUACCUUAUGAAAGAAAUAAAGUAGGCAAAAAAGUUAAUAACUAACACGUCAGGUCAAGGUGUAGCACACGGAUGGGAAGAGAUGGGCUACAUUUUCCCCAAGCGAAAAUACGAAUGGUGUCCUGAAACACACACCUGAAGGCGGAUUUAGCAGUAAAACAACCAAGAAUAGUUAUUUUAAACCUGCUCUGAAGCGCGCACACACCGCCCGUCACCCUCAUCACGCGUCCCACACUAC